This is a long non-coding RNA of Suricata suricatta (meerkat), 926 nucleotides long. RefSeq lists it as uncharacterized. The record is from RefSeq and is a predicted model, not a curated record. The transcript is spliced from 2 exons. NCBI's taxonomy places the organism in Eukaryota, Metazoa, Chordata, Mammalia, Carnivora, Herpestidae.
CGCUCAGCUCUCUAUGUCUCUCUCUCCUUCUCUCAAGAGUAAGCACAUUAAAAAAAAACCCUCACAUUUUCAAGUGUUUGAGAUCAGGUCUGCCAACAACCCAGGCAGGUAGAAAACCAGUCGGGAAUAAAAUGCACUGACAUUACAGUCAGAAGAAAAAUGCUUAAUAAACUCUGGGAACUCAUUAUGAAUUUGGCAAAACUCAUUACAAGUUUUCUCUCCCAAAAAUCUAUUGGGAGAGAAGUACACAGUUGAAAAAAAGAGACCAGCUGUUUUUAGGUCAGCGCAGGCUAAAAACGAACCAGGAAAACACGAAAAUGCCUUUACCUUUCAGCGCACUGUCAUUGGCACCGAAGAAAAUGGUCACUGCUAUCGGGCUGUCCAAACCGGUCCCUUUCUUGAUUAAUCGUGGAAGGAUGAUUUUGGCCCAUCUGGUAUUGUAACCUGAAAAUCCACGAUUCAGAACAUCACAUUUUCUGAAAUGAAGAAUUUUUGAAGAUGAAUUCCACAAUUCCACGAGGAACAGUUUCCAGCUCCCUGCAGCAAACCGACGACUCGCUGACUCACGCGUGGGCGGGGACGUCCUCCUAACGGAGCUUACAGCCGGCCGGUCUCAAUCUGAGCAUCUUCAGUAGAGUCACCAACAAGUCGGAGCUCAAGGGUGACAGUGCUUUGGGUAAUUUGGGAUGUAUAUGGAAUAUUUUUGAGACUUUUACAGAGUAUUUUUUAAGAGGCAUUUCAGGUCUGCAGCAAAACGGAAAGGAACACAGCGUCUGCACACACCCCUCCCCCUCGGGCACAGCCUCUCGGACAACCAACAGCCCUGCGGUUCACAUUUGUGACGCGUGACAAAUGUACACUGACAUGUCACUGUCAGCACCCGAUGGCUUUGAUUCAAUCAUUUCAAUAAAUUUAUUAUUUAAGCA